RNAcentral lists this ribosomal RNA (1512 nucleotides) under Lactiplantibacillus pentosus. RNAcentral describes it as "partial 16S ribosomal RNA". It matches the Rfam family "Bacterial small subunit ribosomal RNA". The record is from RNAcentral. Lineage: Bacteria; Bacillati; Bacillota; Bacilli; Lactobacillales; Lactobacillaceae.
GACGAACGCUGGCGGCGUGCCUAAUACAUGCAAGUCGAACGAACUCUGGUAUUGAUUGGUGCUUGCAUCAUGAUUUACAUUUGAGUGAGUGGCGAACUGGUGAGUUACACGUGGGAAACCUGCCCAGAAGCGGGGGAUAACACCUGGAAACAGAUGCUAAUACCGCAUAACAACUUGGACCGCAUGGUCCGAGUUUGAAAGAUGGCUUCGGCUAUCACUUUUGGAUGGUCCCGCGGCGUAUUAGCUAGAUGGUGGGGUAACGGCUCACCACGGCAAAGAUACGUAGCCGACCUGAGAGGGUAAUCGGCCACAUUGGGACUGAGACACGGCCCAAACUCCUACGGGAGGCAGCAGUAGGGAAUCUUCCACAAUGGACGAAAGUCUGAUGGAGCAACGCCGCGUGAGUGAAGAAGGGUUUCGGCUCGUAAAACUCUGUUGUUAAAGAAGAACAUAUCUGAGAGUAACUGUUCAGGUAUUGACGGUAUUUAACCAGAAAGCCACGGCUAACUACGUGCCAGCAGCCGCGGUAAUACGUAGGUGGCAAGCGUUGUCCGGAUUUAUUGGGCGUAAAGCGAGCGCAGGCGGUUUUUUAAGUUUGAUGUGAAAGCCUUCGGCUCAACCGAAGAAGUGCAUCGGAAACUGGGAAACUUGAGUGCAGAAGAGGACAGUGGAACUCCAUGUGUAGCGGUGAAAUGCGUAGAUAUAUGGAAGAACACCAGUGGCGAAGGCGGCUGUCUGGUCUGUAACUGACGCUGAGGCUCGAAAGUAUGGGUAGCAAACAGGAUUAGAUACCCUGGUAGUCCAUACCGUAAAUGAUGAAUGCUAAGUGUUGGAGGGUUUCCGCCCUUCAGUGCUGCAGCUAACGCAUUAAGCAUUCCGCCUGGGGAGUACGGCCGCAAGGCUGAAACUCAAAGGAAUUGACGGGGGCCCGCACAAGCGGUGGAGCAUGUGGUUUAAUUCGAAGCUACGCGAAGAACCUUACCAGGUCUUGACAUACUAUGCAAAUCUAAGAGAUUAGACGUUCCCUUCGGGGACAUGGAUACAGGUGGUGCAUGGUUGUCGUCAGCUCGUGUCGUGAGAUGUUGGGUUAAGUCCCGCAACGAGCGCAACCCUUAUUAUCAGUUGCCAGCAUUAAGUUGGGCACUCUGGUGAGACUGCCGGUGACAAACCGGAGGAAGGUGGGGAUGACGUCAAAUCAUCAUGCCCCUUAUGACCUGGGCUACACACGUGCUACAAUGGAUGGUACAACGAGUUGCGAACUCGCGAGAGUAAGCUAAUCUCUUAAAGCCAUUCUCAGUUCGGAUUGUAGGCUGCAACUCGCCUACAUGAAGUCGGAAUCGCUAGUAAUCGCGGAUCAGCAUGCCGCGGUGAAUACGUUCCCGGGCCUUGUACACACCGCCCGUCACACCAUGAGAGUUUGUAACACCCAAAGUCGGUGGGGUAACCUUUUAGGAACCAGCCGCCUAAGGUGGGACAGAUGAUUAGGGUGAAGUCGUAACAAGGUAGCCGUAG